GCGAAAGUGGCGGAAUUGGUAUACGCUAAGAUAGACUAGUCAGUGAGAGUUCGAAUCUCUCCUUUCGCACCA
This 72-nucleotide transfer RNA is filed under the name Chloroflexota bacterium. Its description in RNAcentral is "tRNA-OTHER". It matches the Rfam family "tRNA". From Rfam's summary of the family: Transfer RNA (tRNA) molecules are approximately 80 nucleotides in length. The record is from RNAcentral. Lineage: Bacteria; Bacillati; Chloroflexota.